UGAGUGACAUCCCUUCCCCUCGGCAAUGGUGCUUAGACGCUGUCAAUACAUUAAACAAGAAUAGUCGAACCAAUCCAUCAACAUCCCUUUACUGACUGCUGCUGGGGACACAGAGAGGUGAAAGAGAUGGCUGAGUGCCCUUGGAGAGGUUCCAGCUGAGUCUGGGAGGGAAGGGAAAAAAGAAGACACCUCCAUCAAAAGGUUCACCAACAAAGCAACAUGU
RNAcentral lists this long non-coding RNA (223 nucleotides) under Homo sapiens (human). RNAcentral describes it as "HSALNT0086182". Lineage: Eukaryota; Metazoa; Chordata; Mammalia; Primates; Hominidae. The record is from RNAcentral.